AGGUACUAUGCCGGAUCAACGGGCUGCAUUGAUGUUGCAGAUCAGGAGAUGUUGAAUUUCUCUGGUGCCUA
This 71-nucleotide transfer RNA is filed under the name Nerita versicolor. RNAcentral's name for it is "tRNA-Ile". RNAcentral also lists the same sequence under 2 other names. Lineage: Eukaryota; Metazoa; Mollusca; Gastropoda; Cycloneritida; Neritidae. The record is from RNAcentral.